This is a long non-coding RNA of Oncorhynchus tshawytscha (Chinook salmon), 1206 nucleotides long. NCBI's taxonomy places the organism in Eukaryota, Metazoa, Chordata, Actinopteri, Salmoniformes, Salmonidae. The record is from Ensembl.
UUUUUAUCUGUGUCAGACUUAACUGAGUAUUUGAAUGGGUCACUGUUUGGAAUGAAGUGUGCAUACGCUGUCUAUUUUAGGACAUCUUCAGGGAUGUAUGGACACUCAGUCAUCUGCUCCUCUUGUUGUGUUUUCAGGGAUGAAGAGAAGAUGGCUACUGGAUGUUCUCUGGACUGGAUCCUGUAUCAGCAGCAGCAGUGGAAGAUCCAUUUUAGAUCUGGCUAUCAUCAAUAUCAUUUAUUAAUAUCAGAAUACAGACCUUUAGACUAAUGUGAGGAGUGUUGUCCAGUGUUCCUCAGCCCCUUCUGGACAGGUACAUAAUGGGACACUUCACGUUUCCUCAGUCCCUUCUGGACAGGUACAUAAUGGGACACUUCACGUUUCCUCAGUCCCUUCUAGACAGGUACAUAAUGGGACACUUCACGUUUCCUCAGUCCCUUCUGGACAGGUACAUAAUGGGACACUUCACGUUUCCUCAGCCCCUUCUAGACAGGUACAUAAUGGGACAGUUCACGUUUCCUCAGCCCCUUCUGGACAGGUACAUAAUGGGACACUUCACGUUUCCUCAGUCCCUUCUGGACAGGUACAUAAUGGGACAGUUCACGUUUCCUCAGCCCCUUCUGGACAGGUACAUAAUGGGACAGUCCACUUUUCAUCACAUCCCCCAUGGAAAGUUACAGUCCACUUUAACCACCAACACCCCUUGCCUCCAUAACGUACAUGGGACAGUCUCACAUUUCUUCUAGAAUAAGACAUGACAGUCAUCCACUCCAGUUCACCCAAUGGGAUUCCAACAGAAUGACUUAUUCUACUGCACAUGUCUAAAGCACUGCCUUUCUGUUUAUGACAUCACACUGAGCUGCUGAUGUACUUAUUGAAUAUGACACAUGUACUUCUAUUUUCUAAUUCACUAUAUUAUGCUUUUAUUGAAACUUGAAGAAUGUUGAAGAUUUCUGAGGGCACUUCAAUAUGCCACUAUUUCAACAACAUAUAAUAAGCCUGUAUAAUUGAGACAUGUUUACCUUCUCGUCGUAUCAAAUGUGACAAUAUGACAGUACAUUGCAGCACUUGUCAGGUCGCCAUUGUAAACAAUGAUUUGUCUCACCUGGAUAAUUAAAUGUUAGAUUAAACAAAUAAUACAUUGUUCCUCGCCGGUUUUGCAAACCAGUUGACAUCUCUAUCCAAACAGUAAAUGUUGACAUGUAU